GACGAACGCUGGCGGCGUGCUUAACACAUGCAAGUCGAACGGAAAGGCCCUGCUUUUGUGGGGUGCUCGAGUGGCGAACGGGUGAGUAACACGUGAGUAACCUGCCCUUGACUUUGGGAUAACUUCAGGAAACUGGGGCUAAUACCGGAUAGGAGCUCCUGCUGCAUGGUGGGGGUUGGAAAGUCUCGGCUGUUGGGGAUGGACUCGCGGCUUAUCAGCUUGUUGGUGGGGUAGUGGCUUACCAAGGCUUUGACGGGUAGCCGGCCUGAGAGGGUGACCGGCCACAUUGGGACUGCGGUACGGCCCAGAGUCCUAUGGGAGGCAGCAGUGGGGAAUAUUGCACAAUGGGCGGAAGCCUGAUGCAGCAACGCCGCGUGCGGGAUGACGGCCUUCGGGUUGUAAACCGCUUUCGCCUGUGACGAAGCGUGAGUGACGGUAAUGGGUAAAGAAGCACCGGCUAACUACGUG
This 468-nucleotide ribosomal RNA is filed under the name uncultured bacterium. RNAcentral describes it as "partial 16S ribosomal RNA". It matches the Rfam family "Bacterial small subunit ribosomal RNA", at positions 28 to 507 of the family's 1533-position model. The record is from RNAcentral.